ACGCUCGACACCUACGGUAGGCAGCAGUGGGGAAUAUUGCACAAUGGGGGAAACCCUGAUGCAGCGACGCCGCGUGGAGGAAGAAGGUCUUCGGAUUGUAAACUCCUGUUGUUGGGGAAAAAGAGGAUGGUACCCAACAAGGAAGUGACGGCUAACUACGUGCCAGCAGCCACGGUAAUCUGAGCGGGCUGGCAAGGC
RNAcentral lists this ribosomal RNA (198 nucleotides) under uncultured bacterium. RNAcentral describes it as "partial 16S ribosomal RNA". It matches the Rfam family "Bacterial small subunit ribosomal RNA", at positions 326 to 539 of the family's 1533-position model. The record is from RNAcentral.